RNAcentral lists this ribosomal RNA (441 nucleotides) under uncultured bacterium. RNAcentral describes it as "bacterial SSU rRNA". It matches the Rfam family "Bacterial small subunit ribosomal RNA", at positions 338 to 795 of the family's 1533-position model. The record is from RNAcentral.
CCUACGGGGGGCUGCAGUGGGGAAUAUUGCGCAAUGGGGGAAACCCUGACGCAGCAACGCCGCGUGGAGGAAGAAGGUUUUCGGAUCGUAAACUCCUGUCUUCUGGGAAGAAGAAUGACGGUACCAGAGGAGGAAGCCACGGCUAACUACGUGCCAGCAGCCGCGGUAAUACGUAGGUGGCGAGCGUUGUCCGGAAUCACUGGGUGUAAAGGGCGCGUAGGCGGGUAUGCAAGUCAGAUGUGAAAGACCGGGGCUCAACUCCGGGGCUGCAUUUGAAACUGUAUAUCUUGAGUGCAGGAGAGGGAAGCGGAAUUCCUAGUGUAGCGGUGAAAUGCGUAGAUAUUAGGAGGAACACCAGUGGCGAAGGCGGCUUCCUGGACUGUAACUGACGCUGAGGCGCGAAAGCGUGGGGAGCGAACAGGAUUAGAUACCCUGGUAGUC